Molecule: ribosomal RNA, 239 nt
Filed under: uncultured bacterium
Lineage: Bacteria
Description: partial 16S ribosomal RNA
Rfam family: Bacterial small subunit ribosomal RNA
Source: RNAcentral
GGGCAAGCGUUAUCCGGAUUUACUGGGUGUAAAGGGAGCGUAGACGGCAUGGCAAGUCUGAUGUGAAAACUUGGGGCUCAACCCCAAGACUGCAUUGGAAACUGUUAAGCUAGAGUGCAGGAGAGGUAAGCGGAAUUCCUAGUGUAGCGGUGAAAUGCGUAGAUAUUAGGAGGAACACCAGUGGCGAAGGCGGCUUACUGGACUGUAACUGACGUUGAGGCUCGAAAGCGUGGGGAGCA